CUUAAUUAUAUCAUGAGAAUAGCAUAAUUGGGGGAUCAAUUCAGCUUCUUCUUCUCCAGGGGCCGGCUGCUCCAAGCUUGAAAGAUUAUGAUCGAUUUGUAUUUGAGGCAAAUCAAAUAUAAAAUGGCUUAUGGUGGGCAAUAGUGAGGCUCAUAUAUUUUGAAAGACAUAAAGUGUCAAGGU
Molecule: long non-coding RNA, 183 nt
Organism: Hibiscus syriacus
Lineage: Eukaryota; Viridiplantae; Streptophyta; Magnoliopsida; Malvales; Malvaceae
Exons: 2
Source: RefSeq, a predicted model, not a curated record